AAAGAUUCCAGCAAUAAAGUUGUGCGUUAUUCAACAAAAAUUUACCGCGAAUCACAAUCAAAAGAUGAAACUCAUCACCGUGCUCAUUUUGAUAAUGGCAUUCACUUUGACCACCUUUGUGGCUGAAAGUCAAGCAGAUGGAAUAUUUGAUAAAAUUAGCGAUAGCUUUCAACAAAUAAAAAAUUCUAUUGGAAAAUUGUUCGAUAAUUCGGUGGACACUGUUGAGGAUGCAGUUAAAUCGGCAAAGAAUAAACUAUCGUAAAUAAUUCCAUUAAGAUUAUAAUUUUUUAUACACCAUUAUCAAAAAAAAAAAACAUUGUUAUCCUUCAUGUCAUAUAUAAAAUUUUGAGUGUUUGUUUUAAAUAAAAGUUAUAGAAAUCAUUCCGUUUAAUUGAAA
This is a long non-coding RNA of Stomoxys calcitrans (stable fly), 397 nucleotides long. RefSeq lists it as uncharacterized. The record is from RefSeq and is a predicted model, not a curated record. Lineage: Eukaryota; Metazoa; Arthropoda; Insecta; Diptera; Muscidae. The transcript is spliced from 2 exons.